Molecule: long non-coding RNA, 427 nt
Filed under: Spirodela polyrhiza (greater duckweed)
Lineage: Eukaryota; Viridiplantae; Streptophyta; Magnoliopsida; Alismatales; Araceae
Description: long non-coding RNA (SPOL_LNC001233)
Source: RNAcentral
GGGGAAAAAUGCAUGAGACAAAAGUUUAUGCAGGUGAUGUAGGAACAUGGUUAGGAGAAUGAUCAUUUACUGAAAACGAAGAAACCCUACUGUAAUUCAUGUAUUAGGAGAAAAAUAAUGUUAGCGAAUGGUAAUGUUAAAAAAACCCAAAGAUGAAUGUAUCAUAAGAAAAAGGACAAUAUUUAGCUGAUUACGAGGUGCCAGAAUGAAAGAGUAAAUCCCGAAAGAAUGAAUUUCUUAUUCCUGUUCUUGUAAAAGAUGAGCAAGGUAUCCAGUUUAACUGAGGAAGUUUGACUUAAUUACGAUAAAAACUGGAUACUUGCACAACAAGGUAGAAACAGAAAAAGAGAGAGAAUCAUGCUCUGCACUUGAGCGCCUGAAAAAGUAUUGAGGAGACUUGAAAUAGGGACAUGGAAAAAAGUGAAAC